This 266-nucleotide ribosomal RNA is filed under the name uncultured bacterium. RNAcentral's name for it is "partial small subunit ribosomal RNA". It matches the Rfam family "Bacterial small subunit ribosomal RNA", at positions 26 to 287 of the family's 1533-position model. The record is from RNAcentral.
AGGAUAAACGCUGGCGGCGUGCCUAACACAUGCAAGUCGAACGCCCUUUUGUGCCGCAAGGUGGAAGAGGGAGUGGCGGACGGGUGAGGAACACGUGGGUGACCUACCUUUCAGUGAGGAAUACCGGCGAGAAAUCGCCGACAAGACCGCAUAGGCUCGAUGCAAGUCGAGCAAAGCUCUUUCGAGAGAGGGAGCGCCACACGAGGAGCCUGCGCCCGAUUAGCUAGCUGGUGGAGUAACGGUUCACCAGGGCGACGAUCGGUAGC